GUAGCAGCAGCCUUAGAAGGCUGAAAGUUGAGAAGUUUUUGGUCUCUCAAAAGUCCAAUUUAACCGAAGCAAGUUGCAGCAGUUUCAUAGGUCUGAAACUUGCAUUUUCAGCUUAAAAGGGGUCGGAAAAGUAGGCGCCAACAGCAGCAAAACAAGGGGCGGAUUAAGGGUCUGGAAGCCCAUAUUUUAUUCUCUCACUACUUUUUAACUCUGUUUCUUUUAUACGGUAUGUUUGCUAUGAUCUUACAAAUUUUUGUUUAUUUUACCUAACUUAGAUGAAU
Molecule: unclassified non-coding RNA, 281 nt
Filed under: Hevea brasiliensis (rubber tree)
Lineage: Eukaryota; Viridiplantae; Streptophyta; Magnoliopsida; Malpighiales; Euphorbiaceae
Source: RNAcentral